This 429-nucleotide ribosomal RNA is filed under the name Verrucomicrobiota bacterium. Its description in RNAcentral is "Verrucomicrobia bacterium partial 16S ribosomal RNA". It matches the Rfam family "Bacterial small subunit ribosomal RNA", at positions 355 to 776 of the family's 1533-position model. Lineage: Bacteria; Pseudomonadati; Verrucomicrobiota. The record is from RNAcentral.
UAGGGAAUCUUCCGCAAUGGACGAAAGUCUGACGGAGCAACGCCGCGUGAGUGAAGAAGGAUUUCGGUUCGUAAAACUCUGUUGUUAGGGAAGAAAAAAUGUAUAGUAACUAUAUACAAAAGAGACGGUACCUAACCAGAAAGCCACGGCUAACUACGUGCCAGCAGCCGCGGUAAUACGUAGGUGGCAAGCGUUGUCCGGAAUUAUUUGGCGUAAAGCGCGCGCAGGUGGUUUAGAAAGUCUGAUGUGAAAGCCCACGGCUCAACCGUGGAGGGUCAUUGGAAACUAAUAAACUUGAGUGCAGGAGAGAAAAGUGGAAUUCCUAGUGUAGCGGUGAAAUGCGUAGAGAUUAGGAGGAAAACCGGUGGCGAAAGCGGCUUUUUGGCCUGCAACUGACACUGAGGCGCGAAAGCGUGGGGAGCAAACAGG